UUCCCUCCAUCAACAUCAUAAAAAAUUAGAUUCCUGCACCACCAUAUAAAAAUAGUUUAUUAAUUUUAAAUGCACUCUAAUAAUUUUGUUCACAUAGUGUUAAAUUAUAAAUAUAUACCUUACCAUCUCAGAUGGCUGAUAAGCGAUGAGUAGCCUGUGCAUAGAGUACAGACUGAUCUAAUGGACUUGACUCCAUAAAUACGAUACACUGC
RNAcentral lists this long non-coding RNA (212 nucleotides) under Elaeis guineensis (African oil palm). RNAcentral describes it as "long non-coding RNA (EGUI_LNC048784)". Lineage: Eukaryota; Viridiplantae; Streptophyta; Magnoliopsida; Arecales; Arecaceae. The record is from RNAcentral.